CCCGCUUUGGCGGAAAUUGCAACAGAUGGCGCUAGUGUGCAGGAGUUUUUCACUUUUAAAAUGUAUGGAGAAAGUUGCAAAAAAUGAUAUUUUGACUUAAUAAACGUUUUAUCAGAAAAAAUAUUUGGUACAGGUUGUAGCUAAUAAUGAUAGCUAACUGCGUUACCAAAUAUUUUUUGCCAAAAUGUCGAAAUAUUUGAAAAAAAUGAAAAAAUGUUCAAAUGUCCAUACAUUUUUUCGAUUGAAAACUUCUGCCUCGAAUCUGAUUGAUCUUCUUUUGCCUAUACAUGGACAUCAUGAAUAUACAUGGAUUCAUGGUUAUCAAUCUGUCAAAUGUAAACAAAACAAAGUUUCUCCCAAAACAAACAUGGAUCGGCAGCAAACGGAAAGGAGUGUGAAAAGUGUUAAACGGUGCGUUCCGGAACACCAUGUCUUCACCAGGCCACGUAAUCAUCGUUGAAUGCGGGAAAAUGUUCGCGCUGACGGUGGCGAUGCUUGGUGGCGUGGAUGACGUUGUUCUCGCAAGCGCUACAAUCUCAGAAAUACGAAACGGACGAUCUUCUGAAGAAAUGCCAGAAGGUCAGCACUAUCAAUGCUAACGUCUGGUCGAACCGGAAGUGUUCCUGGGUCCGUUUAUCGAAACCACCCGCCCGGUGUUCAAGAACACCCUAUCUGCAACUCAUUCGAUCUACAGUUAGUACACCCCCUGCCGAUGGAUGCGCUUCCCGUGAGUGGUGUCAAGUCAAGACGGGCGAGAAGUCGAACUGUAUCAUUGUCGAUUGGAUUGUACAAGGAUUGGGUUAGCUAGAGCCGGAACAGAACGGUAGAAACCAACAACAAAACUAAGGUAGUGAUUAGGUAAGAAAGAAGGGCGGGUGCUAGCAUGUGCGUACCUGGCCCCCAGCUUCAAUGUCGGGCUCCUAAGGAGCCGCUCCUUCCUUCACUAAAAUUGUGCUCGCUGGCGUAGUGCAUGCCAGGCGUACACGACAUUGGAGUAGGGAGGAGCAAGCUACGCGCAUGGGUGAAAAAUUUUUGAGUACACUAAUCAGCUAUGAUGAGGUUUAUUGCUAGUAAUGGACCCUUUUGCCUAUAGUGCUUUCUGCAGGAUAACCAAAACAUAAAUGCUCAAAUGUUUUCUACUGAUUCCAGGCAACUUUCACCGGGGGAACAUCAAUUACAUUGCUACACAACAGCUGUUGACAAACGAAUUUCCCAGUGGUCACAUAAAUGGGCUAUUUUGUCUUUUUUUUAGUUCAAAAUUCAAAUUUUGUUAAUGUAAACACUCAAAAGGGUUUUACUAGUGCAUUUGGGAGGGUUCACUGGCAACGUCGACAGCAUGGAGGGGGGAUUCCUUCAAGAAUUCAUCCGGAGCUUUCUACAGGAAUUGCUCCUGGAGCAUUCCUCCAGGAGUUUUUUUUUUCAGGAGUUCUUUAAGAGAUUCUCCAGCAGUUCCGUCAGGAAUAGUUUCAGGGAUACAUGCUGGAUUUCCUUCAAGAACGCAUUAGGGAGUUCCUUUAGGGAUUCUUCUAAGAGUUUCUUAAGUGAUUCCUUCAAAGUUUUUUAAGAAAUUUCCUAAGGCGUUUCUUAAGGGAUUCCUCCAGGAACUUAUGUAGGUUUCCUACAGGAGUUCUUUCAGGUACACCUACAGGAAUUCCUUUCGGGAUACUUUUAAGAGUUUCUUCGGCGAUUCCUCUAGGAGUUUUUUUUAGGGUUUCCUCCAAGAGCUCCUUCCGGAAUAUCUCCAGGUGAUACAGAGAUUUCUCCAAUAGUUCCUUCAGGGGUCCUUCAGCUUUACUUCAGGAGUUCUGUCAAGGAUUUCUUUGUGAUUUUCCUCAGAGAUUCCUUCAGCAUCCUUCAGCAUUUCUUCAGAGUUUCUACAGAAGUUUUUUCAGGGAUACUUGCUGGGCUUCCUUCAAGGAUACUUCUAGCAUUGCCUUCACGGAUUUCUC
Molecule: long non-coding RNA, 1949 nt
Organism: Aedes albopictus (Asian tiger mosquito)
Lineage: Eukaryota; Metazoa; Arthropoda; Insecta; Diptera; Culicidae
Exons: 3
Source: RefSeq, a predicted model, not a curated record